This is a long non-coding RNA of Vidua macroura (Pin-tailed whydah), 196 nucleotides long. RefSeq lists it as uncharacterized. The transcript is spliced from 3 exons. The record is from RefSeq and is a predicted model, not a curated record. NCBI's taxonomy places the organism in Eukaryota, Metazoa, Chordata, Aves, Passeriformes, Viduidae.
CUGAAACAAAUAGUGGAGAAACUGCACAAAGGGCAUGAGAUGGAAGGAGAGGCUGUGCUAAAGGCUGAGUUUCCCGGAGGAACCAGUAGCUCAUUGGCAGCCUCUGCUGCAGGAAGGGAGGCGAUGCCAGGCACAGUCACUGGAGACUGGGAUCGCAAAUUGGAUUAUUUGGAAGCCCUGCUGGAAAAUGGCUUGA